RNAcentral lists this ribosomal RNA (3632 nucleotides) under Cibicidoides lobatulus. RNAcentral describes it as "SSU rRNA". It matches the Rfam family "Eukaryotic small subunit ribosomal RNA". The record is from RNAcentral. Lineage: Eukaryota; Foraminifera; Rotaliida; Anomalinidae.
CUCAAAGAUUAAGCCGCAAGUGGUUAUAUUAACCCGACAGUUUAAAUAAGUGUUAAAUGCUACCAUUAAACUUAUCGAUAUAUCACGAUAGACCGAUUUUGUUUACGACGGCAGUAACAAUUUCAGCGUGUUAUCACCCAUCACAGUGAAUCACUGAAAUUUACCCUACAUUCAGUAUCACUUACGCAACUGCAGACAGCUGCUUAAUACAGUCACACUUGUCUUGACUUGGCGCAAUAAAAAUUUUCAUUGAAACACCCUCUCUUCAUUGCGGGGGCAGAUCGGUGAUCAUUUUUGUUUUGUUGCAUUCACGCAUACAAAAUUUUUUUGAUUUCUCUGUAUCGCUUAUUCUUUAAGGACAUUGCGUUACACCGUGACAAUUUUUUCUUUAUGGAUAACUCAGGGAAAGUUUGGCUAAUACGUACGAGUAUAUUUUAUUUUUACUACACAUACGCACAUACAUUCAGAUUAAUUUUUGUAUCGCUGUGUAUCAACUACUACUCAGCACUCAAUGGUAAACUUUGGCUGCGCUUGCGCGGUCAGUUUAAAGUUUAACUGCAACAUGAGAGACAUUGAGCACGCACGUGUUGCGUCUUCGGACGCUUCACGUCACGCUGAGCAGACUUUGCGAAGUUUACUUUGCGAAGCAUGUCAUACAAGCAUCUACAGCAUCAAGUCACAGGGUUGGCAAGUGUAUUUUUGAACCUUCAAAGCAGUCACGCAUACGGAAGAGUAGUUUCUGAUCCCAUAGAAGGAGCACCGUACAAUGAGAGACCGCUCUUAGUUCUAAGGAACGCAGCAGGCGCGUAAAUUGCCCAAUGCUAGUACCCUACAAUUCAAAUUGUAUUUACAUGCGUUACACAAUUUACAACAUUAUUACAAGUUUUUAAUGACAGUACAUUAUAACACUUUCAUUUUUUCUGUUAUCAUUACACAUAUAUCCUUGUUCGUUGUACUUUCAGCAUAUAUAGUAUUAAUUUAUUAUUUUACUGAGGCAGUGACAAGCUGUAACGGUUGAGUAUAAAAAUGACGAGUGUCUGGCAUUGCCGCUCUUUCGGGAGCUUGGCAAGUUGCCGACGCUUUGUGUGCUCAAUUGGAAUGCGGUGAGUUUAAGCAACUCAGAACCUUUGGACGGUGUUAGUAAAAUUUCACUGUUUAUGUAUCUGAAUUUCAAGUGGAGGGCAAGUCUGGUGCNNNNNNCCGCGGUAAUACCAGCUCCACUGGCCUAUACAAUCAUUGUUGCGGUUAAGAGGCUCGUAGUUGGAUUGAACUGCAAAUACGAAUGAACUUCUCAUUCUGUUUGAAGUUUUACGCAUUAAUAUAUAUUUCUAUCUCGCAUAGAUUUAUUUUUUUUUUGCGUUCGACGCUGUUAAAAUUUAUACAAUUUCACCGUUGUAUUAAAUUUUAGUUUUUACACGGCACAAAUUUUUACUGUCGCACACGCAUUAUAUAUAUACAUCAUUUCUACGCACACACACACACACGAUUUAUAUAUUUUGCAAACGCGCGGGAAAUCUUUGUAUUUUUUCGAACACUCGCUUAGUUAUUUAUUCGCCUUUUCAACACUGUGAACAAAUCARAGUGUAUUAAACAUGUCGUUUUUGAAUGUGCAUUGAAUGUCUUAUCAUGGGAUGUUGCACUUUCUGACGUUAAAGAUUUUUACUGCACUUUUUACAAGCGCUGUACUUGAUUUUUUCCACACACGUUUAUCUGUCAUGCUGCGGCCCGUUUAGGGAAGUAUACUAGCAUGCAGGGAGAGACGCACAUGUUACAUGCCACGUAAAUAUUAUUAUCUCAUACUACCCACACACGGUAAAUUAUUUUUAACGGUUAAAAAAUGUCGAUGGGGAUAGUUGGAGUCAACAGUAUUGCUGGGCGAGCGGUGAAAUGCAUUGACCCUAGCAAGACUACCAAAAGCGAAAGCAGUUGGCUAGGCUAUACUCUUUGUGAUUAUAUAUCUUACGGGACGCUGCUGUGCUGCCUGCGUGACACAUUUUUUUUUUCUCAGCAUUGCUUUAUACGGCAUUACACACUGUACACUGCGUAUACUGCCAUCUUUGCGAAUUUUUUUGUCUCACACACAGACACACACACACACAGCGCUGCGUUAUGCAUAUAUAUAUACACUUUACAAUGAAGAACGAAGGUUGGGGGAUCAAAGAGGAUCAGAUACCCUCGUCGUCCCAUUAAUUACAUCAAACGAUGGACUCUCAAUUGCAUUUUUUAUUAAAUUGCAAAUUUCCUCAGCCUACAAAAUGACUUGGCUUGAGCUCGUAUUUUUUAUACGCUCGCCUAACUUUUUUCGUACGGUCUCGAUGGACGUUUCAUUUAUAUUUUUUUGCGUGUAAGCAUUUGUUAUUCUUUGAAACAUAAGAAUGCAUUGCGUGCACUUGAUUUUCGGAGCUUUGCGCUCAAUUCUGGUGAGAUGUAAGCACUGUGUCAUACUACCCGCAGCAUAUACCUUCGGGUAUUUUGUCUGUCGUGUGUAGUUGACAAUCUUGGUGUGAAGCACGCUUUAGGCACGCGCUUACUGCAGAAAUGUCUGAGACACUCUCCUCUGGGGGAAGUAUGCACGCAAGUGUGAAACUUGAAGGAAUUGACGGAAGGGCACCACAAGAACGCGUGGAGCAUGUGGCUUAAUUUGACUCAACGCGGGAAAUCUUACCGGGUCCGGACACACUGAGGAUUGACAGGCAAUAUUAAUACGUUUUGCUUCGGUAAACGCGUAUUAUGUUAAAUAUGCUAGUCCUUUCAUGAUUAUGUGAUAGGUGGUGCAUGGCCGUUCUUAGUUCGUGGAGUGAUCUGUCUGCUUAAUUGCGUUUCACUAAGGGCCUAUAAAUUUACGUGUGUUGCAUCGCACUUUGACCCCUUUCUUUAAUUAGAGAGCGCGUGCCUUAGUUUUCGCUUUGCUCAUACAAUUAGGUCCUGAAAGCAACGAACGUGACCGCAACCUCUUGUUGCCUUUAUACCAAACAUGUUUUGCGUCAAUUUUUACGAAUUGCGCGCAUUUCAUGAAAAAAGGCUUUUUAAACUAGAGGGACCGCUGUUACUUUCUUAAACCAGAGGAAGGUUGCGGUAAUAACAGGUCUGUGAUGCCCUUAGAUGUUCCGGGCUGCACACGUGCUACAAUGAUUAUUGCAGUGAGCAUCUCAUUUUUACACACCGCAUGCGCGAGUCCAUUUAUUCACCUUCGGGUGUUUUAAAUGUGUAUCUCUGCGCGCGGUAAAGCCUGCUUCGACAGUAAGUGGGUAAUCAAUUAGAAGUAAUGAUUUCCUUUUUUUUAGCACACAUAUAUACGGCGUCUAUGCCCGGGUUACCUUGUUGUAGCUUUUGUGCGUAUAGAUGUUUUUUCCGUAUGUGCGAUUGUCAAUUCAUGGUGGGGACAGACCAUUGUUAAUUGUUGGUCUCGGUCUUAACUAGGAAUGCCUUGUACGGGUCUUUGGUUCAACAAACCACCCGGAAUACGUCCCUGCCCUUUGUACACACCGCCCGUCGCUCUUACCGAUGGACUUCUCUGUGAGUUUGAGGGACUGGGAACGCAGGAAUUUAUUUCUGCACACCUAUGGAAACUUAAACGAACAGUGUGGUCUAAAGGAAAGAGAAGUCGUAACAAGGCAUCGGUAGGUGAACCU